AGCAGGGACUGGGGGGAGCUCAAUGACAACUAUUCCUCCCAUGAUUUCAUUGUAGGAACACUUUCCAUUCUUGUAUAAUAUUCAGAAACUAAGUCGGGAAACUCUAUUACAAAGCACAUAUUAAUUAAUAUUUCUAGCUUAUUAACUUAUUCAUGCAUCCAGUAAACAUCAUUGUAGUCUACCGAGGUACUGUGCCUUGUGUUACCUGCUGGGGAGAUAAAGAUAAUAUAUUCCUUCUAUGACCUCAAACAAGAAGGAGAGACAGAAAUCUAGACCAAUAAUUACAGCCAUUACAGUAGUUUUAUGAGACAACAGAACAGGAAAAAUGUACCUUUGCCUAUAGGAGGGCAAGGAGGGCACCCAGAAAGUGGUGAUACUGGAAAUGAGCUGUUUGCUUUUUAUUUGGGGUUUUGUUUUUUUGUUUUUUGUUUUUGUUUUUUGUUUUUUGUUUUUUUUUUGGCCAUGCCCACGGCAUGCAGAAGUUCCCAGGCCAGGGACCAAAUCUGAUCCACAGCAGUAACCAGAGUCAAGCAGUAACGACAUCAGAUUCUUAACCCGCUGAGCCACCAGGGAAGUCCUGGAACCGAGUCUUUUGAGCUAACUAGGAACAUACCAGAAGAUGAAGGAGAGGAAGAGCAUUCCAGACAGAUGGAACAGCCAUGGAAAAGCUUUUUUUUCCCCUUGGGUAAGGGGGGACAUUUGCAAUGGUGUACUCCAAUUUGGGUUCUAGGAACUUAGGAUGAAAAGUAGAGUGAAAUGGGAUAGUACUGGCCCACAGUGUUCAGAGUUUGCAAUCAAGGAGCCCCCACAGGCAGCAUUCAAGUGUAAAGACAGAAUUAAAACCAGUGGAAAAUAACACCCACACACCAUCCUAAUGGGGACCAAGCUGGAAGGCAAAACCCGGCAGAAGUAAAAUGGGAACUGGCAGCAGCACAGGUUAGGAGUUGGGGGAGGAGGGAGAGCCUGGAGAGGAGCCUUUGAACAGAGCUACAGGGGAUUUUCAGAGGCAGCUGAAGGGCCGAUCUGGGUGGGGGAGGACAGUGUGGCAGGCACAGAACCUGUUCAGGCAGGCGUGGAAGCAAGACAAAGCCGAGCCCAGUCAGGGAGUUAAGAUCAGUCAUCAUGACUAAUGCCCAGACGAAAAACGAGGAGGGUAGACAAGAGGGAGUCAGGACCUCCAGGACGAGGAACCUUGAAAAGUACCCUCGGGGAACUUGCCAGCUGGGACUUCCCCCGGGGGGCCUGGGCAUCACUGGCAGUUAUCAAUGUGUUGUUCUGUGUGGGAUACAAACACUAUUGUAAUGAUUUUUAAAGCAAUCAGAAAAAUACAUUGGGAGUUUGGGGUUAGUAGAUGCAGGCUAUUACAUUUAAAAUGAAUAAGCAAGGAGGUCCUACUGUACAGGCCAGGGAAUUAUAUCCAGCCUCUUGGGACAGGCCACGACGGAAGAUAGUACAAGGAAGGGAAUGUGUCUGUAUCUAUGACUGGGUCACUUUGCUAUACAGCAGAAAUUGGCACAACACUGUAAAUCAACUAUACGUUAAUAAAAAAAAAUUAAAAAGAGAAAAAUAUGUAAUUAGCACAUUAAAUUCAAAAUUAUAUAGAUACAAAACCUGCUUAAGAUGAAGUGUGCAGAGGAGUUCCCAUCGUGGCUCAGUGGUUAACGAAUCCGACUAGGAACCAUGAGGUUGCGGGUUCAAUCUCUGGCCUUGCUCAGUGGGUUAAGGAUCCAGCGUUGCCAUGAGCUAUGGUGUAGGUCGCAGACGCGGCUUGGAUCCCGUGUUGCUGUGGCUCUGGCAUAGGCUGGAGGCUAUAGCUCCAAUUAGGCCCCUAGCCUGGGAACCUCCAUAUGCUGCGGGAGCGGCCCUAGAAAAGGCAAAAAGACAAAAAAAAAAAAAAGAUGAAGUGUGCAGAGAUACUACCAUGGUGAGGUGACCUAUAGUAAAAAUUAAGAAAAUACAAAAGAAGGUUUUAUACCGAUAAGGCCAAAAUUGGGAGGGCAGUCUAUAAAUGACUCAAGUUUGAAAAUGUUGGUCAUUAGCAAUGGGGAGUCCCUGAGAAGUUUUAGGCACUGGACUAUAUUCUAGAACAUUGCCUUUGCAGGGGUAGGGAAGAGAGGAGCUGGAGGCGUUUGCUAAGAGGGAUUGCAUUUCUCUUUCAGAACCGAUGCAGACUCUGCAUGUUUUUUGAGUUCAUGUUUCAAUAACGAAACUAAUUUGAACCCUGAAAUACUCAGGCAAUUCUGUGAGAACCCUUCUUUUAGUAAUGUGAAAUACCUGUGACUCUAUUUUAAUCUUGAACAACUGGACAUAUAUACUCAGGUGAAUAACUGGGGCAGUAAUGUGCAUUGGGCAAAAUGACCUCCAUGGUGUGGAGUAAUAAGACACUCACCAUGUCUACUGAAUGCUGGUCCCUACCAUCAUUUGGUUAAUUGGACUAACAUAGACUUAUUGUUAAAAAUAUGUCUGGUACAUUAUGUAUUGUCAUGUCUUAAAUUUUCUCUGUUUCAUGAUAAUUUGACAUUCGGGGGCCUUGUGAACAGAGGAGGAACUGCCUGUCCCAGGACGAGCUAAUUCCUAGAGAUGAUAAACAAUCCGCGUGUAAGCAUACCUUACACACGCAAACCAACCCUCCUGAACCCAUCCUCCAUCCGCCUCCUUUUAUCAGACACCUGCAGUCUGGGACACCAUCCUCCUCACUCACCUCAGUCACCACGGAAACAGUUACUGGACCACUAGAGACCACCGCCCGAGUCCAGAACCUGCCAAAAUUAUUCAAACCAUCCACCCUAAGUCUGCUCUGCUGCUUACCCUGCUUGCCCAUUCUUUCUCAUGAAAACAAGAUACAAAUUGUUACUAUGCUUUCCCCUCGCUCCUUCUGCCUCCUGACCAACUCUGGUGCUUCUCUAUAUGGUCCUGCAUGGCUUGGUGUGCCCCUUCUUCUUGGGAACUGUAGGCAAAAACCACUUUUCCCCCCCCAAAAACAGUUGUCUCUGUGUCUUUUAUCUUACCAUAUCUGACUCAAAUAAAAUCCUGGGUACAUUUUAAAACACAUUAAAGAAACUCAAUAAAUUAAAAAAAUCUGUUAAAU
This 3088-nucleotide long non-coding RNA is filed under the name Sus scrofa (pig). RNAcentral's name for it is "lncRNA (ENSSSCG00000051329.2)". Lineage: Eukaryota; Metazoa; Chordata; Mammalia; Artiodactyla; Suidae. The record is from RNAcentral.